Camellia sinensis is the source of this 1191-nucleotide non-coding RNA. The record is from RefSeq and is a predicted model, not a curated record. NCBI's taxonomy places the organism in Eukaryota, Viridiplantae, Streptophyta, Magnoliopsida, Ericales, Theaceae.
AAAGUAUAGUGUUGACAUUUUGCUUCCCACAAAAAUUCAUUCAGAGCAUCUUUUAAAAUUGUUGGUUGCAAAGUACCCAUAACCAGAACUUCCAAUCAUCAUCAUCAUCCAAAAUAAGAAAACAUGGCCAGAAAGAGUCUCUGUAAUGUCCCUGUAAUUGAUCUUGAAGACUUUCCCGGUCAGUCAAAGAAAAUGAUAAGAGGCAUGUGAGGAAUUUGGUUGUUUUAGGAUCAUUAACCACCGUCAAAUUCCUGCCGCCGACACUGGUGAAGGCGGUGACGCAGUCACUAAUGGAGCUUCCGGCAGAAAUUAAGCGGCGGAACAAGGACGUGAUACGCAGCAGUGGGAACCUACCCAGUUCAAUCCUUUAUUUGAGGCCUCAAGCCUAUAUGACAUGGCCUCUGCUCAAGCUGUUGAUGCCUUUUGUACUCAGUUGGAUGCCUCUCCUCUCCAAAGAUCGGUGAACGGCGACGGCAUGUCGUGACCUGCGAUGGCGAAUUGAAGUCGGCGACGAACAUUGGUGGGCUGUCCCUCUCUCCCUCUGUCUUACUCCGAACAUUUGGACUGCGAUUUGAGCCGCAAUUGGAGCCGCGAACCAUAGUUAAAGGUCAAUGUCAAUGUCAAGCACAAAUGCAAGUAUGGACAACAUGUAUGAAGUUAGAUUCGAAAACUGCAAUUGUCGAUGUGGCAAAAAAGUUAUGGUGAAGAUUUCUCAGUCAACGGAUAAUCCAAAUUGCCUUUAUUUUGUAUGCCCCAAUUAUCCGAAUGGUUGUAACUUCUUUCAGUGGUGGAUCCCUCCACAUAUGCAGCAUAAUUUGAAGGUGGUCGAGAAUGAUAUCGAUGAAGAACGCAUGGAAGUCUUGUCUACUCUUAGAGAAGUAAUUAUCGUGAAUGGGGAGUUCAAAGACAUGACUACAAAGAGUAGGAAACAAUAUAGAGACUUGGCAAUGGUGGUUGAAAGAGUUGGUGCAAAAUUGAAUUACGCCUUUGUUUUUUUUGUUUUGUUGUUGGUAGUAGUUGUGAUUUUAGUGUAUUUGAAAUAGUGUGUGUAAUGUAAGGUAGUGUCAGUAUGACUUGUAUUGUAGGUUGAAUGUGUAUGUAAUGUAGUAUGACUUGUAAUGUACGUUGAAUGUGUAUGCAAUGUAUGGUGGACUUGUAAUGUAUGAGUAUGACUUGUAAUGUAUUUUGUAA